This 282-nucleotide long non-coding RNA is filed under the name Bos taurus (domestic cattle). RNAcentral's name for it is "long non-coding RNA NONBTAT015316". The record is from RNAcentral. Lineage: Eukaryota; Metazoa; Chordata; Mammalia; Artiodactyla; Bovidae.
GUAGAAAAAGUUCCAGCUUCCACAAUCCUUUAUUAAACAUUUGACAAGUCGCAUCACGUCUUUACAAUGACUUCAUUUUGUCACAUUACUCUUUUGUUCAGUCAGGAAAACAAUCCACAAUCUCUCUUUAGGUCUCUCAAGAAAAACGAAAAGCAAAAGGAAUUUGUUCAACAAAACGUUUCUACGUGUAUCAAAUUCAACUAUAUUUUAAAGCUAUUCUGAUUGUGAAAAUGAGCAUUUAGCCAGACGAUGUCUUUUAAAAAAUUUCCAAGUUGUUUGGUU